UUUCCGUAGGUGAACCUGCGGAAGGAUCAUUAAUGAGUUGUCAUGGGGUUCGAUGCUGGCAGCCAGUUUUUGGAUGCAUGUGCUUGCCCUAACAAUCAUCUUCUUCCAAACACCUGUGCACAUUUUUGAGGGAGUCUUGAGUUGGUUGCCGCUCUUGGGUGAUUUUCUCACAUUCCCUUAAAUCAUUAUACGCUAUUAACAAUGUUGAACGUGCUCUGUGCCGCAAGGCCAUUAAUAUAAUACAACUUUUAACAACGGAUCUCUUGGCUCUG
RNAcentral lists this unclassified non-coding RNA (272 nucleotides) under plant metagenome. RNAcentral's name for it is "partial contains small subunit ribosomal RNA, internal transcribed spacer 1, and 5.8S ribosomal RNA". The record is from RNAcentral.